GGACACAGCAUGCGUUGAUUGGCGUGCUGUCGGGCUGACCCCGGGUGUCGAUGCAUGCUGUCUGACUGUGCCACUAGCUCCUUGCGACGACCUUCCCCUGCUUCCAACUCGUCUCCUCCUCCUCCCUGUCUCCCCAUCUGAACUUUCACCCUGUUCUUCUUCUUGACGAGCGGGCACCCACGUGACAUCCAUGGACGCAUCGUCAUCAUCAAACGCUUCACUUGUAUCUGACAACUCAGCAAAGGAAGCAGCAGCGGGUACAACAUCAUCAUCAUCAUCACACCGUACGUCCAUGUGUGUAAUGCUGCCUGCCUGAGACAUAUCCCUGUUAUCUACAUCCUCUGGCAAUAAUGGUUGCGCAUCACUCAUUUCUUCAAGCGGAUGUGUG
This is a non-coding RNA of Pelobates cultripes (western spadefoot toad), 388 nucleotides long. NCBI's taxonomy places the organism in Eukaryota, Metazoa, Chordata, Amphibia, Anura, Pelobatidae. The record is from the annotation of a GenBank genome assembly.